UAGGGAAUCUUCCGAAAUGGACGCAAGUCUGACGGAGCAACGCCGCGUGAGUGAAGAAGGAUUUCGGUUCGUAAAACUCUGUUGUUAGAGAAGAACAGCGCAUAGAGUAACUGUUAUGCGUGUGACGGUAUCUAACCAGAAAGCCACGGCUAACUACGUGCCAGCAGCCGCGGUAAUACGUAGGUGGCAAGCGUUGUCCGGAUUUAUUGGGCGUAAAGCGAGCGCAGGCGGUUAGAAAAGUCUGAAGUUAAAGGCAGUGGCUUAACCAUUGUAGGCUUUGGAAACUGUUUAACUUGAGUGCAGAUGGGGAGAGUGGAAUUCCAUGUGUAACGGUUAAAUGCGUAGAUAUAUGGAGGAACACCGGUGGCGAAAGCUGCUCUCUGGUCUGUAACUGACGCUGAGGCUCGAAAGCGUGGUGAGCGAACAGG
RNAcentral lists this ribosomal RNA (428 nucleotides) under Bacteroidota bacterium. RNAcentral describes it as "Bacteroidetes bacterium partial 16S ribosomal RNA". It matches the Rfam family "Bacterial small subunit ribosomal RNA", at positions 355 to 776 of the family's 1533-position model. Lineage: Bacteria; Pseudomonadati; Bacteroidota. The record is from RNAcentral.